Molecule: ribosomal RNA, 497 nt
Filed under: uncultured bacterium
Lineage: Bacteria
Description: partial 16S ribosomal RNA
Rfam family: Bacterial small subunit ribosomal RNA
Source: RNAcentral
GAUGAACGCUGGCGGCGUGCCUAAUACAUGCAGGUCGAGCGAACGGACGAGAAGCUUGCUUCUCUGAUGUUAGCGGCGGACGGGUGAGUAACACGUGGAUAACCUACCUAUAAGACUGGGAUAACUUCGGGAAACCGGAGCUAAUACCGGAUGAUAUUUUGAACCGCAUGGUUCAAAAGUGAAAGACGGUCUUGCUGUCACUUAUAGAUGGAUCCGCGCUGCAUUAGCUAGUUGGUAAGGUAACGGCUUACCAAGGCAACGAUGCAUAGCCGACCUGAGAGGGUGACCAGCCACACUGGGACUGAGACACGGUCCAGACUCCUACGGGAGGCAGCAGUAGGGAAUUUUCCGCAAUGGGGGAAAGCCUGACGGAGCAACGCCGCGUGAGUGAUGAAGGCCUUCGGGUCGUAAAACGCUGUUAUUAGGGAAGAACAUAUGUGUAAGUAACUGUGCACAGCUUGACGGUACCGAAUCAGAAAGCAACGGCUAACUACGUG